Molecule: ribosomal RNA, 326 nt
Filed under: uncultured eukaryote
Lineage: Eukaryota
Description: partial 18S ribosomal RNA
Rfam family: Eukaryotic small subunit ribosomal RNA
Source: RNAcentral
CCCUUAGAUGUUCUGGGCCGCACGCGCGCUACAAUGAUGCAGGCAACGAGUGCCGCUCCUUAGCCGAAAGGCUUGGGGAAUCUUGAAAACUGCAUCGUGCUAGGGAUAGAUGAUUGCAAUCGUGCAUCUUGAACGAGGAAUGCCUUGUAAGCGUGAGUCAUCAACUCGCGCUGAAUACGGCCCUGCCCUUUGUACACACCGCCCGUCGCUCCUACCGAUUGGAUGGUCCGGUGAACUGGUCGGACUGCUGUUUGAAAUUGCGGGUGCAGUUGAUUCACGGGAAGUCUAGUAAACCUUAUCAUCUAGAGGAAGGAGAAGUCGUAACA